Molecule: long non-coding RNA, 1206 nt
Filed under: Canis lupus familiaris (dog)
Lineage: Eukaryota; Metazoa; Chordata; Mammalia; Carnivora; Canidae
Description: lncRNA (ENSCAFG00845021606.1)
Source: RNAcentral
GUACUGUAAGCUCUCAACCUGCUGGAGGAGGGAGAGGGUGUCUCCUCAGUGACCCAGGCACUCUGGGGAAUCACAACCCCUACUUGCACACACAUGAUUGAGACAGUAGAGCCUAUCUCUGGGGCUCAGACAGCUUGCAUAGCAGGAGGAGGCAGCUUUGGUUUUUUUUUUUUUUUUCUUUACAGAUGCUUCUCAGAGCCAGUAAAACAGCAACUGGAUAAAUAUAGGAAGAUGACGCACCAACUCUGAGUGGAUGUGCACGCAUGAGCAUGCAUGCACAAACAAGCCUACAAGCUGUGGACUACCACGUGGCCCUCAGCCUCCAGGAAUUGACAUUCAGGCUCCCAGAGCCAGAAACUCUGAACGGAAUGUGACGUCAUCAAAGAAGCCUGGCAGGAGGAUGAGAUGAGGCCACGAGCACAGUCAUCCCCUUGGCUCCUUGGAGCAUUCUCAGCAGUCGCCCUCAGUCGUCCCUGGCUAUAUAUAGCCCUGCUUACUGCUGUGCACAUGGCAUCUUUCUCAAUGAAAUACCAGAAGUCCUUCCAGACUCCGUGAAAGCAUCAGCUAAUGAACACCCAUAUGCCCAAGAGGUCCUGCAAGUAGCCAAGAGAGAGCUGGAUGUGAAAGAGUCUCAUGGUCAGGCACAAGGGAUGAGUCAGCAGCCACCUGGUGAACCAGUAACUGAAGAGCAGAUGGCAAGGUGGACACCUCGGGGGAGGCCAGCAUGGAUGGUGAGUGAUCCUGAGGACCAGAUGUCCCCUCCAAUACGUGGCACUGUGGAAGUCUCCAAAAUUUAGAUGCAAUCCAGGGGAAAGUGGAAGGGGAAAAGCCAGAUUAAUUGAAAUUAAAUUCCUGCAGCCCCAGAGGAAUGGAGGCUUGAAAAGAAAAGAAAAAGGGAAACAAAACAUGUUUCUGACACAUGUAAAUAUGUGCAAGGAAAUUGAUACCUAUUACACAUGUGAACCAAGAAACAGGUUUCUACUGACUUUCAAGGAGAGGCAAACAGAUAUAACUAGUGUUGUGAUUUCAGAAACAAUGACAGCCUCAUUUUCUCCCUUCUGUGCUUGAUUGUGAAUUUCCACCAUUAUAAUGUUUGUCCCCCCUUGGAUUUAGAAAUGUCCUCUUAAAACACACAUGCUAUUGAGAGAUGUUCACCUCACUAGUCGUUUAGCCCUUAAUGUGCAUCAGUUGAUCCUCUGUUUUUCU